CCACACAGCGCCAUGGGCUCCUGGUUCAGUAGCGAAUACAAUCCUGGAGACCUGAUUGAGAUUUUCCGUGUUGGCUACCAGCACUGGGCGCUCUACGUGGGAGGUGGCUACGUGAUCCAUCUGGCUCCUCUAAAUGGGUUCCCCUCAGCUGACUCCAUCAUGAUCGCCUCCGGUAUGACUGUCAGGGG
This is a long non-coding RNA of Phyllostomus hastatus (greater spear-nosed bat), 188 nucleotides long. RefSeq lists it as uncharacterized. The transcript is spliced from 3 exons. Lineage: Eukaryota; Metazoa; Chordata; Mammalia; Chiroptera; Phyllostomidae. The record is from RefSeq and is a predicted model, not a curated record.